Molecule: long non-coding RNA, 2520 nt
Organism: Camelus dromedarius (Arabian camel)
Lineage: Eukaryota; Metazoa; Chordata; Mammalia; Artiodactyla; Camelidae
Exons: 6
Source: RefSeq, a predicted model, not a curated record
AAACUGGGCUCCCAUCAAGAAAUGAACAUGUGCCUGACUGUUUUCCAGAGUGACUAUGGACCAGUGACUACUGCAUGCCUCCCAUUCUAUUUCCUCCCUUUUCCAGCUUUAGUCUUUGAGUCAACUUCCUGACUUCCAAUUCUGUCUCUCCUCCAUGAUGGCCAGUGGCAAAACAAAGACAAAGCAGCUUAUAUCUUGCAUUGAAGCCCGUGGUCUCUGAAGGAUCCAUGCUGCUGUGAGGUGUUGCUAGAAGCCUAGAUGAAUGAACGAGGUCCUUCUGUCAGAAGAAGAAAACAAUGUACCUCGAUAUAGGAAAUGAGAAAUAUUCCCAAGGAGAUGAAACCAUGAUGAUACCCAAAGUGCUGCAACCAUUGCAAGAUGCUGUAUUUAUAAGGAAGAAAUAAUAACUACAGUGCAUUUUCCUUCUUUAAGCCCUGGAACAGACAAGGCUACCAGAUGUCUCUCAGGAAAACACCAAUCUUCCAGAUGGGGAGUGACGAAAGAUCCCAGUGUUGGCCAGGGAGACCUCCACCGUCUAUGACACCUGUGCAUGUCCUUCAAGAUUGCCCCUUCUGGGGAGGAGAGUGAUGGAAAACACAUAUACCAGCUCCUACAUGCCUCAGCCUGGAAGGUUUUGAAGCUCCCUUCCUCCCCUAGGGUGUUAGAGGAACUGGAUGGCAAACAGAGUGACUAAAACCAUCAGUGGAAGCAGGACACACGAUGAGACAAAGACAAGAAACACAAAGGGAAGAAAAAGAGCAUAGUUCAGUAAAUAACAGAUCAGCAAAUUUAAGCUCAGCUGAGGAAUUCAGCUCCCAGGCCCCAGAUUGCUGAGGAGGCUGGAUUCACGCAUAGUUGGCACUGAGUGAAAAGCGGGUGACCUCCUGGAAACUGAGGACCUUCUGGGAAUUAGAUGCCAACUGUGUCCUGGAUCAAGUAACAGUGCUUUACUAAAGACAUUUUACUUAAAGCUGUGACCUUAGGACCAAGCACGACCAUAUUUGAUCCCAGGCUUCUCUUCUUGCUGAGUCCCUUGACAACUUGUAUGAAUCUCAACUUUCUCUUCUAAAAAAUGAGGAUAAUUAUACCUACUUCACAGGCCAAUGUAAGGAUUAAAUGAGAUAAUCUGACAAAAGAGAAGGAAUAGUUCUUGCCACAUCCUUCUAACAGCAUCAACAUGCAUUCAUUCCUUGUGGUGGUUCGGUUUGCAAUGGCUAAGUGCUGGGACUCUGGAAUACGACUGCUCAUAUCAUUGCUCUCUCACAAUCACAGCUGUCUGACCUUGGACAAGUUACUUGACCUCUGCUUCAGCUUCUUCAUAUGUAAAAAUGUACUAUUAAUAGUACUUUCCCCAUAGGGUUAUGAAGAUUAAAGGAGUUAAAAUAUGUUAAGUACUUAGGCCAGUGCUUGGCACAUAAGUAAACAUUUAAAAAAUGUAAGCUAAAGACGUUCAAUAGUUUUGGAUUCUUUCUAGUAGUGAUUGAUUUUGUCUUAGGUUCCAUUCACAUAACUGGACAGGAAGGAAGCCGUGGUAACAGCCUUGCCGGCUGAGGGCGGGUGUCUUGUAGUUCUGUAUGAGGCAACAUUGCCUGCCUGCAGGGAACAGGUGGUGGUGGCGGCUUCCCCUCUAGCCAGGGUGGUUAUGUAUGGUUCAGGGCAGUUCCGGGUGAGAGCCUUGAGAGCCAGCAGCCAGGCUGCCUGACAGCCAGCUUUUGUUACUGACCUGGUCAAAUUAACAUUUCUGAUUGUUUCCUCCCUUGUGAAAUGGGGAUAAUUUUUGCCUCUCUGGGUUGUGUGAGGAUUAAAUGAGGUAAUUCACCUACAGUCCAAAGCCUGCACCAGCACAGAGCUAGCCGCGGUAAAGAUGAUUACAUCAAAUAUAUACAGCAGUUGAGCCCACGGGGAUUUUGAAGGAAGGGAAACCAGAAGACAGCUCGAAGUGGCCCUUCUAUCUAUCUGAACUCAGCCUGGUAAGAGGGAAAAAACCCAAUCUCUUCCUUUUGCAACGAAGUGACAACAGAGGUCUCCCCGCGGAAAGACUCCCCUUGUCUUUCACACUCCCCUCGCUACCCACCCCACCAAAUGCAGGCAAAGACAUCAUCCCUUCCAGUUUUACAAUCUACUCAUUUCUGUACGUGCAGGUUUAUCUGAGCUUGGUGGCAAGCCAAGGGUGGGUGGGGAGAGGCAUCAAAACCUGGCAACCCCGCUCCCCCAUCUCCGGAUGCCGCAGGGCUCCUGCCAGCCGUCCUCGGUUAAAAACGUGCUUUUUAUUUCUCUUCCCCGCAGCCUCCUGUGCAGCAGCUCAUUACCGCUCGCUUCAAUCACCGCUGCCAGCAUCUCCCCAGAACGUUUUCCCCUCCCCCCAUUUCAGGGACAUUGGUCGUAGCUGACAUUUAAAGAAAAUAAACACCGAUUUUAAAAAUUACAACCAUCUCCGCCUGAAGAACCCAGCAGCAAUGAAUAACUGAACAGUCCAGGGAAGAGCGCCUGUCGGGGCUCAACUCCGCCAGCCCUUCCUGC